This 447-nucleotide ribosomal RNA is filed under the name uncultured bacterium. RNAcentral describes it as "partial 16S ribosomal RNA". It matches the Rfam family "Bacterial small subunit ribosomal RNA", at positions 331 to 795 of the family's 1533-position model. The record is from RNAcentral.
CCAGACUCCUACGGGAGGCAGCAGUAAGGGAUAUUGGUCAAUGGGGGAAACCCUGAACCAGCAACGCCGCGUGAGGGAAGACGGUUUUCGGAUUGUAAACCUCUGUCCUCUGUGAAGAUGAUGACGGUAGCAGAGGAGGAAGCUCCGGCUAACUACGUGCCAGCAGCCGCGGUAAUACGUAGGGAGCGAGCGUUGUCCGGAUUUACUGGGUGUAAAGGGUGCGUAGGCGGCUAUGCAAGUCAGUAGUGAAAUCCAUGGGCUUAACCCAUGAACUGCUAUUGAAACUGCACAGCUUGAGUGAAGUAGAGGUAGGCGGAAUUCCCGGUGUAGCGGUGAAAUGCGUAGAUAUCAGGAGGAACACCGGUGGCGAAGGCGGCCUGCUGGACUGCAACUGACGUUGAGGCCCGAAAGCGUGGGGAGCAAACAGGAUUAGAUACCCCGGUACAC